Non-coding RNA from Triticum aestivum (bread wheat), 127 nucleotides. NCBI's taxonomy places the organism in Eukaryota, Viridiplantae, Streptophyta, Magnoliopsida, Poales, Poaceae. The record is from Rfam.
GUGUGAAUCCCAGGGCGCUUCUCCUUUGGCACGGAGGCAUACUUGUACUGAUGGUCGGAGUUGGCCAGGUGAAGAAGCUCCAGGCCGUGUCGCGCGUGCCAAAGGAGAAUUGCCCUGCGAUUCACCU